AAAGCGCGAAAUGUAAUGUGAAUUGCAGAAUUCAGUGAAUCAUCGAAUCUUUGAACGCACCUUGCGCUCUCGGGUCAUUCCUGGGAGCAUGUUCGUUUGAGUGUCGCGUACCUCUCAACCCCACCUUCUAACCAAGGUUGUCUUAGGGUUGGAUCAUGAAGUUUGUCUUCUCAGGAAGACUGCGUUGAAAUGCAACAAGCUGUACCUUUGUACUGGCGGCUUGACCCGUUGUCAUAAGAUUAAUACUUUCAAUGGGGACGCCACGUCGGGAUGAGCUUACCAUAAAUCUAUAUUACUACUUUGACCUCAAAUCGAGCAGGACUACCCCCUGAACUUAA
Molecule: unclassified non-coding RNA, 338 nt
Filed under: uncultured Chionosphaeraceae
Lineage: Eukaryota; Fungi; Basidiomycota; Agaricostilbomycetes; Agaricostilbales; Chionosphaeraceae
Description: sequence contains ITS1
Rfam family: 5.8S ribosomal RNA (bases 1-106)
Source: RNAcentral